ACCAUUACAGCCCCCCUCCCCUCACAAUGAGGGGACCCACAAUUAAAAAAUUCAUUGGAACCCCCUCAUCAUGUGAGAGGACAGUAAAUCAUGGUGUACAAGUAGUUUAAUUGUUUAAAAAAUAGUUUGGGAUCCAGUGGUGUAAUUUUUUUAUUUGGAAGUGUAAAAUUCUCUAUAUAUAGAAGUGCAAUAAGAGAGAAUCAACACAAAGCACUGCCCAAUUCCAUGGCUGCACUUUUCUAUAUCUCAAUUAUCUCCCUUCUGUUUUCUUCCCUCUCCGGCAAACUGGAGGAUGAUUUUCCUGCAGAAGUUGAUGCUAAGGUGCUCGGAUUUCGCAAGGAAAAACUCACCCAUUUCCGAGUUUAUUGGCACGAUAUUUUAGGUGGGCAAAAACCCACUUCAAUCCGAAUCAUUUACCCACCUUCCAAUGUUUCAGCAUCCAGUAGUUUCGGCAUGGUAAGUAUGAUUGACAAUCCACUAACAGUAGGCCCUGAAUUGAAGUCCAAAUUGGUUGGAAGAGCACAAGGGUUUUACGCUUCGGCUUCGCAAGAAGAAUUAUGUUUCUUGAUGACAAUGAAUUUUGUAUUUGAUGAGGGGAAAUAUAAUGGAAGUACGAUUACAGUAAUGGGGAGGAAUGCAGUUUUCAAUAAAGUGAGGGAGAUGCCAGUGAUCGGAGGAAGUGGGCUUUUCCGAUUUGCUCGCGGCUAUGUUGAGGCAAGAACUCAUACGUUUGAUCCCAAGACUGGAGAUGCUACCGUUGAGUAUAAUGUCUAUGUGCUUCAUUAUUGAUUCUUAGUCUGCCUUUUUUGUGCAAAAAGCUAGAAAAAGUGACUUUUGAGCUGGGUGGAACAUGUUGUAAUUUCUUGCUAGCUUUUAAUAAUUAUGCGUUGGUUAUUUUUAGUAUUGAAUCAGUGUAACUUGGCUGCAUCAUCUCAUAGAUGCUGCUGUUUGGGAUCUAGAUAAAUUUAGGGCUUGUUUAAUUUGGAUUAAAAUCUGAUUUUUAAUUUAAAUUAAAGUUAAAGUUUAAUAAUCAAUAUUAAUCAUAUCUUCCAAGAUUUGCAUAGUUUUUGAACUACACAUUUCGAAAACUUCAAUCAUAAUUUACUGAAAAUUUU
RNAcentral lists this long non-coding RNA (1115 nucleotides) under Olea europaea subsp. europaea. Lineage: Eukaryota; Viridiplantae; Streptophyta; Magnoliopsida; Lamiales; Oleaceae. The record is from RNAcentral.